RNAcentral lists this ribosomal RNA (157 nucleotides) under Parmelina quercina. RNAcentral describes it as "5.8S ribosomal RNA". It matches the Rfam family "5.8S ribosomal RNA". Rfam says of the family: 5.8S ribosomal RNA (5.8S rRNA) is a component of the large subunit of the eukaryotic ribosome. It is transcribed by RNA polymerase I as part of the 45S precursor that also contains 18S and 28S rRNA. Functionally, it is thought that 5.8S rRNA may be involved in ribosome translocation. The record is from RNAcentral. Lineage: Eukaryota; Fungi; Ascomycota; Lecanoromycetes; Lecanorales; Parmeliaceae.
AACUUUCAACAAUCGGAUCUCUUGGUUCCAGCAUCGAUGAAGAACGCAGCGAAAUGCGAUAAGUAAUGUGAAUUGCAGAAUUCAGUGAAUCAUUGAAUCUUUGAACGCACAUUGCGCCCCUCGGUAUUCCGGGGGGCAUGCCUGUUCUAGCGUCAUU